Poeciliopsis prolifica (blackstripe livebearer) is the source of this 347-nucleotide long non-coding RNA. RefSeq lists it as uncharacterized. The transcript is spliced from 3 exons. Lineage: Eukaryota; Metazoa; Chordata; Actinopteri; Cyprinodontiformes; Poeciliidae. The record is from RefSeq and is a predicted model, not a curated record.
UAUACACAGCAUCCGUGGAAAGUGGGCGAAAACAGUUAGAUAGACAAAAGAUGUUUUGUUUUCUCACACGAUGCCGUGUUUGUGCUUUCGGAGAGCAGAAGACGCAGCGAGGAAGGGGCUCUAUUGGAUUGAGAUCUGGUGACUGGAGUGCAGUGAACUCACUGUUGUGCUUGUGACCUCAGCAGAGAUGAUUUGAGCUGGAAGUGGCCAUCAGAAGAUGCUCUCACUGUUGAUGGAUUUCAUCAUUAGCAAAAGAAAGAGACACUCAGAGAAAGUUCAAUAGAAUCAAGGUCUGCGCUUCCCAUAUAUCGAGGUGAAUAUGCAGAGGUCAGGCAAGAUACCCUCUG